This 988-nucleotide ribosomal RNA is filed under the name uncultured Chlamydiales bacterium. Its description in RNAcentral is "bacterial SSU rRNA". It matches the Rfam family "Bacterial small subunit ribosomal RNA", at positions 508 to 1504 of the family's 1533-position model. The record is from RNAcentral. Lineage: Bacteria; Pseudomonadati; Chlamydiota; Chlamydiia; Chlamydiales.
CCAGCAGCCGCGGUAAUACGGAGGGUGCAAGCAUUAAUCGGAUUUACUGGGCGUAAAGGGCGCGUAGGCGGAACGAUAAGUCAGAUGUGAAAUUUCGGUGCUCAACACCGAAGCUGCAUUUGAAACUGUCGAUCUUGAGGACGGACGGAGAAAACGGAAUUCCACGUGUAGCGGUGAAAUGCGUAGAUAUGUGGAAGAACACCUGUGGCGAAAGCGGUUUUCUAGUUUGUUCCUGACGCUGAGGCGCGAGAGCAAGGUAGCAACAGGAUAGAUACCUGGUAGUCUGCGUAACGAUGUAUACUGAUGUAUGAGGCUCAACCCUUAUGUGUCGAAGCUAACGCGAUAAGUAUACCGCCUGGGGAGUACACUCGCAAGGGUGAAACUCAAAAGAAUUGACGGGGGCCCGCACAAGCAGUGGAGCAUGUGGUUUAAUUCGAUGCAACGCGAAGAACUUUACCCAGACUUGACAUCUACUUGACCGCUAUAGAGAUAUAGUUUCCCUUCGGGGCAGGUAGACAGGUGCUGCAUGGCUGUCGUCAGCUCGUGCCGUGAGGUGUUGGGUUGAGUCCCGCAACGAGCGCAACCCUUAUCAUUAGUUACCAGCAUUUCGGAUGGGGACUCUAAUGAGACUGCCUGGGUUAACCAGGAGGAAGGUGAGGAUGACGUCAAGUCCGCAUGGCCCUUAUGUCUGGGGCUACACACGUGCUACAAUGGUCGGUACAAUGGGAAGCCAAGCCGGAAGGUGGAGCAAAUCCCCCAAAGCCGACCUCAGUUCGGAUUGUAGGCUGCAACUCGCCUACAUGAAGUUGGAAUUGCUAGUAAUGGCGUGUCAGCAAUAACGCCGUGAAUACGUUCCCGGGCCUUGUACACACCGCCCGUCACAUCAUGGGAGUUGGUUUUGCCCGAAGUCGCUGACUUAACCCGCAAGGGGGAGAGGCGCCGAAGGUGAGGCUGAUGACUGGGAUGAAGUCGUAACAAGGUAGCCGAU